This 2091-nucleotide non-coding RNA is filed under the name Pan troglodytes (chimpanzee). Lineage: Eukaryota; Metazoa; Chordata; Mammalia; Primates; Hominidae. The record is from RNAcentral.
ACUUGGGCCUGAUGCAAGGAAACAACCUCCAGCCACCUUCCCCCAGGCCUUUAGAGCGCUGGUCUUUGCACAGAGAAGCACCACAGAGGACAGAAGCCUCCAGGACUCACCCUUCCCCAUUUCUGGCCCUAUCAGGCAGCCACAGAACAGCCGACCAGGCGCAGGUGGUUCCUGGUCUCGUGCACCACCCUCAAGAGAACACACAGAGACUUAGAAUUAGAGCAGGACUCAGCCCAUUCCCCAGGGCUCACCUAGCUGCCAUCGGAUCCACACAUGGACACAGGUGGGUCCCGGGUAUUUGCCUCCCUCGCUGCCUCUGCCCUGCCAGCUGUGCCCUCCACGCUUGCCCGCCCCACUGCAAUAAUGCAGAAGCACACAGCUGGCUGAGGCUGGGAGGCCCCCUUCAGGGCCGUAGUGUGGAGUACCAACAACAUACAUGUGGCUGGGGCUGGGUGACGCAUGCCACCUAUGGUGAGCGUGGCACCAGUCAGGCUGCAGAGAGGCAGAGGAUAGCCCACACCAGGGCUCUCAGUGUGGGGAACUGCCCACGCUCUCAUUUCCAGUGUGAAUUCUCUCCUAUCUCUAAGUGGAGGGAAGGAGCAGGAACAUUUUCCCCAAGGCCCAGAGCCGUUAAAUCAGGGGUUGGUGCUCAGCCCUGGCCACACAUUAGAAUCACCUGGAGAAGCUGUACUACACUGACAUCCAAGCCCUGCUCCAGAGCAAUUACACCAGAAUGUGUGGUGGGUUGGAGUAGGAGAAGCAGGCAUUGGUAUUCUGAUAUGAGGACGGGUGAGUGCCAAGGUCUCAGCCCCAUAACAAGGUGAGGUCCUACAGGCCACGUGGUAGCACGUGGGAAAUUGUCCUCUCUUCUCAGGGGGGGCCAAUGUUCACACAGGCAGGGGAUGGAGAGUGGGCCUGAUCUGAGAAGGUGGAACCCAAAACUCCUGAAGGGGACAGUGUGACAGAAGGUUCUACUUAAGGGCCACUGCCACUGUCCUUAUCCCAGGGAUACCUAGUGUUCUCCUAAAGGAGACUUCUCAAUAUAACCAGGUGGAACGGUAGAAAGAAUCCAGAUUUGAUUUGAUUUUACCCCUCAAAAGCCCUGAAGAAUCUAGAUUGUAGAGGCAGGCAGAACCACAUACGAGUCUUGGGUCUGCCACUUACUAGCCAUGGGAUGUGCAGAGGAGACCUGUUCUCAGAGCCUCAGUUUCCUCACCUAGGAAAUAGGGUGAUGAUAUCUACUGUAUAGGGCAGGUGUUGUAGGAGUAAAUAAGCUGAGCUACAGAAAUCUCCCAGCCAACUGCCUGGUCCACCCAGGGACAGAAAACCACUCAUCUGCUCACACCCCUUCACUCACUCCUCCCUCUGCCUCAGAGCUCCACAAAGCCCUGGGUCCUCUGAAGCCUAGAAGGGCCAGGCCAGGCCCUGGGCUCCAGGAGCUCAGGAGGGGCUGUUACCUCAUCCUCUUGCCGUGUGUGACUAAGGACGCUUGAUACUUCUGCACGCACUCCUCCUGGAACACCUGCAGGAGUCUUUUGGCUAAAUGACUGAAAUUCACCCUAGAACGACAGGGAACCAAGGUGCAGAUGAGCUGCCAGAACCACUAUGCACAAGCCCACCAUCCCUCAGUCUCCGUCAGUCUCCGUCACCACCUCGUCGUAAGUGCCCAAGCCCUGCGUCCACAGCAAGGCUAUAUCUCUGGGAAAGGAGGAAGGAUGGUCACACACUUGGAUUGUGAAGGCUGCAGUGGCCAGCAAAGCCCACAUCAACAGGGAGACGUGGGAGACGCACAGGGGAUCCUCAGGGAACACACAUGUGCUCAAGCUUAGUCCUCAGGAAAGGGAAGGGAAAGUGAGGCAGCCGUGGAAAGAAGGUAUGUGAGUGCGUGUGUGUGUGAGACAAAAAGGGGUCGGGGUGCUUGUAGAACUGGGGGAGUGAGUUCCCAGAUAACCAUUAAAUCAGGGAGGGCCUCCUGGACGUGAGUGUGUCCGGGAAACAUGGGAGACAGAGGAGCCGGGGGAGGCAGGGAAGGUUCAGGCAGAGGGCAGAAGCAGGAAGUGGUAAGUGGUGCAUCAGUGAGGACAACUAGAG